AUUUUAAAUUAAGUACCUCCAUCAAACACUCUAUACAAAGCAUAAAAGCAUUUCUUAGAUGCCUCACAGGUCUGCAGCUAAUUGGGAAGAGACAGUGUUGUUAGAAAUCUCCCUGGUGUUUUGCCUACGAAUAAACACCAUCAAACACAAGCCCAAAAUAUUAUUUCUCUAUGGAACAUGUAUAAAAGAGGAGGAUCUUAAAUUUAGUAAAGGGAAGUCUGCGCUGACUUCAUAUUGCAAGAGUAAUACAAUUACCAGAAUUCGCUGGCGAAAACCCAGCGGCAGCUUCAGGCAGCACCGGGCGAGACGGAGCGGGAUUGCCAGGAGCGCUGCCCGCAGGGGCUGCGCCUGCACAACCUGGGGGGCUCCCAGCAGGUGCAACAAAGGUGGGAAGGGGUAUGUGCCCUGCUAAAGCUGCUGGGGUUUUAGGAAAAAGACCAAAUUCCACUGGCUUCUGCAGAGAAAUCCCUGAACUACUUGGGCAAGAGGAAAACUCAGCAUCUCCAGCUAGAUAUAUGUCAACUUACGUAACCUGCACAUUUGACCAUGGUUUUCCUUCUCUUUUAUCCCAUGUGUUUGAGGAGGACUUUGGAGCUCCCUGUUCAAGGAUCUACAGGUUAAUUGACUCUUGUAAAAAGGUUAUAUUUAUGUUUCAGUGUUUAUGUGUUAAGAAAUAACAAUUUUAAAUCAAGUUAUUUGUUGGCGUAGCUGCUGGUCCAGACAAAAUGGCACAGUCAUUUGCUGCAAACGACAUCUGCACAGAACUGGAAAAGAGUGAAAGAAAAGAAAAAACACGAACUUUGCAGGUCUUAUUUUUAACUCAGAGUCAGCAAGAAGUCCCGGCGCCGACUGCGGUGGGCGGUGGCUUUACAUUUCAACACACGUUCAGGACGGAGCAGAUCUACUGUCCCUGUGGGGGCUCGGGAAGGGCAGCCAGCAGCCCCCUGCCCCAGCACCCACCUCCAUGGCUGCUGCAGCUGCCCUGGCCGUGCCAUAGGCUGAGCUCCUGGUGGCCACCAUGUCCCUGUGGCAGGGGGAGAGGCGCCCAUCCACCGGAGAACCCCUGGGGAACCGGGACCUGGCGGCUGCGCGCAGCCAGCGGCAGGCACGGACAAAGCAGGCUGGGCCUUCGGGGAUUUUCAGUUCUGGGUUUUUGUUUUCACGUCCGGCCUGGCUUUGGUCUCGAUCUAAGCUUUCCAACUGGAAGGAAGGCUUUGAAUUCCGGUGUUGCCUGAUGUGGUUUUAAUAAGCUCAGUCCCUCCUCAUCUGCUGCAUGGCAGGAACAGCUCAGAGCCAGCCCCGCGAGCUGGGCGUGUGCAAACUUUUAAAUAAAACUUAGGCUUCUCUUCCCAGAGCAUUUGCUGUCUUAUAAAGAACAGCAAUGGAAGUGCAGCUCUCCGCAGUUCUUACGGGUCGGUGGUAGCAGCUUUCAUUACCGGAAUGACUACAAGUCUUGGU
This is a long non-coding RNA of Cygnus olor (mute swan), 1458 nucleotides long. RefSeq lists it as uncharacterized. The record is from RefSeq and is a predicted model, not a curated record. The transcript is spliced from 3 exons. NCBI's taxonomy places the organism in Eukaryota, Metazoa, Chordata, Aves, Anseriformes, Anatidae.